GAUAGCUUGAAGAAAUUCGAAUUAAUAUUCCAUAGUAUAAAAAAAUUGCAUAAAUUUUUUAUUAAAACUACGGUGGCAAAAAAUAAGCGUGCGUCUGAUUAGUUAGUUGGUAAGGUAAUGGCUUACCAAGACGAAGAUCAGUAGGGGGCCUGAGAGGGUGCUCCCCCAACUGGUACUGAGACACGGACCAGACUUCUACGGGAGGCAGCAGUGAGGAAUAUUGGUCAAUGGAGGCAACUCUGAACCAGCUACGCCGCGUGCAGGAUGAAAGCCAUAUAGGUUGUAAACUGCUUUUGUAUGGGAAUAAAAGAUUCUACGUGUAGAAAAAAUGAAUGUACCAUACGAAUAAGUGUCGGCAAACUCCGUGCCAGCAGCCGCGGUAAUACGGAGGACACAAGCGUUAUCCGGAUUCACUGGGUUUAAAGGGUGCGUAGGCGGUUUAUUAAGUCAGUGGUGAAAGAUUUAAGCUUAACUGAAAGACUGCUAAUGAUACUGAUAAACUAGAAUUAUAUUGGAGCAAUUGGAAUGUAUGGUGUAACGGUGAAAUGCAUAGAUAUCNUACAGAACACCGAUCGCUAAGGCAAAUUGUUAAAUAUAGAUUGACGCUGAUGCACRAAAGCGUGGGGAGCAAACAGGAUUAGAUACCCUGGUAGUCCACGCUGUAAACGUUGAUCACUAGUUAUUGGAGAACUCCUUCAGUAGCUAAGCGAAAGUAAUAAGUGAUCCACCUGGGUAGUACGAUCGCAAGAUUGAAACUCAAAGGAAUUGACGGGGGCCCACACAAGCGGUGGAGCAUGUGGUUUAAUUCGAUGAUACGCGAGGAACCUUACCAAGGCUUAAAUGUACAACGAAUAAGGUGGAAACAUCUUAGUUUCAAACUAAGUUUAAACGGAGUACAAGGUGCUGCAAUGGUUGUCGUCAGCUCGUGCCGUGAGGUGUAUGGUUAAGUCCAGCAACGAGCGUAACCCCUAUUGUUAGUUGCCAUCGAGUAAUGUCGGGAACUCUAACAAAACAGCUGACGUAAGUGGAGAGGAAGGAAGGGAUGACGUCAAAUCAUCACGGUCCUUAUGCCUUGGGCCACACACGUGCUACAAUGGCCGGUACAAAGGGUUGCCACUAGGUGACUAGGCGCUAAUCUCAAAAACCAGUCUAAGUUCGGAUUGGAGUCUGCAACUCGACUCUAUGAAGCUGGAAUCGCUAGUAAUCGCGUAUCAGCCAUGACGCGGUGAAUAUGUACCAGGGCCUUGUACACACCGCCCGUCAAGCCAUGGAAGUUAGGAGUAUCUGAAGGCAGGGACAAGUAGCUGCCUAGGAUAAAACUAAUAACUGGGGUGAAGUCG
Molecule: ribosomal RNA, 1340 nt
Filed under: uncultured Bacteroidota bacterium
Lineage: Bacteria; Pseudomonadati; Bacteroidota
Description: uncultured Bacteroidetes bacterium 16S ribosomal RNA
Rfam family: Bacterial small subunit ribosomal RNA
Source: RNAcentral